RNAcentral lists this ribosomal RNA (253 nucleotides) under uncultured bacterium. RNAcentral describes it as "partial 16S ribosomal RNA". It matches the Rfam family "Bacterial small subunit ribosomal RNA", at positions 524 to 776 of the family's 1533-position model. The record is from RNAcentral.
UACGUAGGGUGCAAGCGUUGUCCGGAAUUAUUGGGCGUAAAGAGCUCGUAGGCGGUUUGUCGCGUCUGCUGUGAAAACUCAGGGCUUAACCCUGAGCCUGCAGUGGGUACGGGCAGACUAGAGUGUGGUAGGGGAGAUCGGAAUUCCUGGUGUAGCGGUGGAAUGCGCAGAUAUCAGGAGGAACACCGAUUGCGAAGGCAGCUCGCUGGGACGUUACUGACGCUGAGACGCGAAAGCGUGGGGAGCAAACAGG